GACGAACGCUGGCGGCGUGCUUAACACAUGCAAGUCGAACGGAAAGGCCCUGCUUUUGUGGGGUGCUCGAGUGGCGAACGGGUGAGUAACACGUGAGUAACCUGCCCUUGACUUUGGGAUAACUUCAGGAAACUGGGGCUAAUACCGGAUAGGAGCUCCUGCUGCAUGGUGGGGGUUGGAAAGUUUCGGCGGUUGGGGAUGGACUCGCGGCUUAUCAGCUUGUUGGUGGGGUAGUGGCUUACCAAGGCUUUGACGGGUAGCCGGCCUGAGAGGGUGACCGGCCACAUUGGGACUGAGAUACGGCCCAGACUCCUACGGGAGGCAGUAGUGGGGAAUAUUGCACAAUGGGCGGAAGCCUGAUGCAGCAACGCCGCGUGCGGGAUGACGGCCUUCGGGUUGUAAACCGCUUUCGCCUGUGACGAAGCGUGAGUGACGGUAAUGGGUAAAGAAGCACCGGCUAACUACGUGCCAGCAGCCGCGGUGAUACGUAGGGUGCGAGCGUUGUCCGGAUUUAUUGGGCGUAAAGGGCUCGUAGGUGGUUGAUCGCGUCGGAAGUGUAAUCUUGGGGCUUAACCCUGAGCGUGCUUUCGAUACGGGUUGACUUGAGGAAGGUAGGGGAGAAUGGAAUUCCUGGUGGAGCGGUGGAAUGCGCAGAUAUCAGGAGGAACACCAGUGGCGAAGGCGGUUCUCUGGGCCUUUCCUGACGCUGAGGAGCGAAAGCGUGGGGAGCGAACAGGCUUAGAUACCCUGGUAGUCCACGCUGUAAACGGUGGGUACUAGGUGUGGGGUCCUUUCCACGGGUUCCGUGCCGUAGCUAACGCUUUAAGUACCCCGCCUGGGGAGUACGGCCGCAAGGCUAAAACUCAAAGGAAUUGACGGGGCCCCGCACAAGCGGCGGAGCAUGCGGAUUAAUUCGAUGCAACGCGUAGAACCUUACCUGGGUUUGACAUGGAUCGGGAGUGCUCAGAGAUGGGUGUGCCUCUUUUGGGGUCGGUUCACAGGUGGUGCAUGGCUGUCGUCAGCUCGUGUCGUGAGAUGUUGGGUUAAGUCCCGCAACGAGCGCAACCCUUGUUCACUGUUGCCAGCACGUUAUGGUGGGGACUCAGUGGAGACCGCCGGGGUCAACUCGGAGGAAGGUGGGGAUGACGUCAAGUCAUCAUGCCCCUUAUGUCCAGGGCUUCACGCAUGCUACAAUGGCUGGUACAGAGAGUGGCGAGCCUGUGAGGGUGAGCGAAUCUCGGAAAGCCGGUCUCAGUUCGGAUUGGGGUCUGCAACUCGACCUCAUGAAGUCGGAGUCGCUAGUAAUCGCAGAUCAGCAACGCUGCGGUGAAUACGUUCCCGGG
This 1343-nucleotide ribosomal RNA is filed under the name uncultured bacterium. RNAcentral describes it as "16S ribosomal RNA". It matches the Rfam family "Bacterial small subunit ribosomal RNA", at positions 28 to 1378 of the family's 1533-position model. The record is from RNAcentral.